Molecule: long non-coding RNA, 356 nt
Organism: Coregonus clupeaformis (lake whitefish)
Lineage: Eukaryota; Metazoa; Chordata; Actinopteri; Salmoniformes; Salmonidae
Exons: 4
Source: RefSeq, a predicted model, not a curated record
CCAGCAGGACCCAUUUCCUGCCAAUGGUUAUGAUGUGACUUACAGCACUGUUGUCCCCAAGAGGAGGAACCAGCUAAAUGUACAGACCAAGGCAGAACCAGAUGAUAAUGUGGUCUACAGCUCACUAUCCCUACAGCUGGACCCAUUUCCUGCCAAUGGUGAUGAUGUGACUUACAGCACUGUCGUCACCAAGAGGAGGAACCAGCGAAAUGUACAGACCAAGGCAGAACCUGAUGAUAAUGUGGUCUACAGCUCACUAGCCCUACACCACACAGCAGAGGGCAGCAACACACAGUGACUGACUGAGUGAAGAUCUUGGUCCUAAAGAGCCAUUAUCCUGGAAGGAUAGCCCACCC